AGGACGCGAGAGGGACCCGAGGUGUGUGGGCCGUUCGUGUUCCCGUUGUUCCCCGCCGAGCCUGGGCUUACUGUUCCUUCCGGAGCUUUUCGAGUCGGCUCCCCGCUCUGUGUCCUCCCUUGGAAGGACUCAUAAGCUAGCCCGGGGCUGCUGGACGUGGAGGGUCUCAUACCGUGUAACCUCCCAGCGCAUGGAAACUUCGAGAGGGUCAGAGGGCGCGGGAGCCGGGCGAGCGCUGUUGCGGCCGCGAGGGGCGGGCGCGGCCGGGCCGACGUCACACUGGGACGUUCCAGCGCUGCCGCAUCCCCGCUGCGAGGUGUGAAAAGCCGUGCGUGGGCAAGGUUGAAAGCGUUCUUCCCCCUCCCUCGUUACCCAGUGCGGAGGGAGGCCGCCCGAAAUCCUUACUGUGGAGCCGAGCAACUAUGAUCCCUGGAAGUGAGCACACUUGUCCGACCUGAAAAGUUUGUUGCGUUGUUGGGAGGUGAAAAUAAGACAGUUGCUUUUCAGAAGUUUAAAAUUGGACAUACGACUGAAAAUUUAAGGGAAAAAAAACAUUUGAGAAUUUUUGCCAGUACCCCCAGUGACACCUCUUUUAACACCCAUUCUAAAACAGCUUAGGAGUGUCUUUGGAAUAUCUGUCCAAACAUUGGAACAAGUUUUUUUGUUGUUGUUUUUAAGUCUAGCAUAAAUCGGGUAAGGACAGAAUGAAAGAUGAAAAAAGGAAGCCUAACUUAAAAAAAAAAAAGGAAAUUGGUAGAUUAUGCCAAAUGAACAAAGUUGUAAGAGUGUUAUAAUUGGGAGUUCUAGGUUCGCAAACGAAAAAUUUUGAAGGAAUAAGGCCCUGGCGGUUUUUUGCAUUUGGAAAAGAAGGAUGUUUCAGACCCCCUUCCCCACGUCCCAGGCAGUAUUUAUGUAUUUGGAAGACAGAGGAAAAGGUGAGCAUAAAGUCUGGCCUCUCACCAAUCCUGCCCAGCCGGCUUGGCUCCCUGGCUGUUUUUAUAUUGAUCCUUAACCAAAUGAUGACAGGUUUGGAAAAAAAAUUAAACCUUGGUAAGUUACUUAUUAAUUUGGUAAUUCAAUAAAAUACCCCAGGGGAGUGGUUAAGUGGCAGCAGAUUGAAAAGUUUUAAUAGAAAUAAAUCAUUUAAGUGCAGGAUUUAUUCGAUAUAUUCUCUGAACAACACUGGUUGGUUUGCUGUAGGGGAUAUUGAAAAACCGUAAAUGGGCUCCUCCUGAGGUCUGUAUAGUAUGUGAGUGCAGACACUAACACCCUUGAAAGAAUGGUGAAAACUAAAACAGUCAACGAAUAGGUGCUGACUUGUGAGAUGGAAGUUUAGACUAAAGACGUUGUAGGAAUUUAAAAACUGGGUGAAUGGGUAAAUAGGAAAGUUUUAGGAGGGAGAAGCACUUACCAGGGCAGACUACUGAGAUGGUAAGGAGCGUGAUCUAUUUGCAGGGAAGGAAGCCUGAUCUGACUUGAGCAGAGGAGGACUGGGGAAGUAAUGUGGGUUCAGGCUAUGGAAGACCUAGGAAGUCAAGCAGAAGAAUUGGACUCUGUGUUUGGACCUGUUUUCUACUCCCAUCCCCUGACGGACCUGAGGAGGUCAUGAGAAAAUAUGGACCAGUAUGAUGCCGUAGGGAGGGAAAGAAAGCGUGGGUUAUGAAGAACAUUUUUAAAGGAGAAUCGGACAGGACUUGGUAACUGAGUAGCCCAUGGGUGAUGAGGUAGAAGGAUGCCAAAGAUGUCUCCUGGUUUUCAAACCCAAGUGCCUGAGAGAAUAAGUGUGGCAUAGGGAAGGGAGGGAAAACUGAUGUUCAGUGUUGGAUUUGACUUGAUAAUGAGGUAUUAGAAUAGAAAGUAUCAGAUAAGUAGAAAUACAGUGUUUUGUGGACCCUAAUAGGUCUCUGAUAAUAUUUUGUAAAUAUCUUUUGAUUAAUUGAGAGAUCCCUUCACCUUCUGGGUCCCAAACCUUUUAGGAAAUCACUGGAUGGUAGCCACACAUACUGACUUCUUUUUGUCCAAAUUAGUAUUUACUACCAUGCAGAGUUACCAUGACUUUGUAACAUACUCAGACUAAUUUUAUAUUUUUCCAAUGACUUCACAAAUGAUAUUUUAAAAUUUAGGGUAGUGAACUUUGUUGCCUUCUUAAUAUGAAGAGGGAAAGGGAAAACAGCUUUUUGUUUGUAUAUCUUUGUUGCUGCGCGCGGGCUUUCUCUAGUUGUGGCAAGCGGGGGCUACUCUUCGUUGUGGUGCGCACACUUCUCAUUGCGGUGGCUUCUCUUGUUGCGGAGCACGGGCUCUAGGCACGGGCUUAGUAGUUGUGGCACAUGGGCUCAGUAGUUGUGGCUCGCAGGCUCUAGAGCUCAGGCUCAGUAGUUUUGGCACAUGGGCUUAGUUGCUCCGCGGCAUGUGGGAUCUUCCCGGACCAGGGUUCAAACCUGUGUCUCCUGCAUUGGCAGGCGGAUUCUUAACCACUGCGCCACCAGGGAACCCCCCAAAAUUCUUAAAUUAGUGUACAAGGAAAUGUGUAUAAAGAUGUUUACUGCAGUGCUGUUUUUAAUAGCAAAAUUAGAAACAAAUAUCUAACAGAAAGGGAAUAAAGUGUAAUCCUUUAGAAUGAACUAGAUCUACAUGUAUUUACAUGGCUAAGUCUGAAAAGCAAAAAUUUAAGUGAAAUAGACAUUUAUAUGGAUAUAUAUAAAAUGUGUUAUUUAUAUAAAAAUUUAAAACAAAAUAAUGGUGUAUAUACCCACAAUUUGCCCAGGGUGCUGCAGGAUAUUUUGAAAUUUGAAGAAAACAGUGAUACUGGACAUCUGUUGGACCCCACAAGCUACUAGCUUAAGAUAGUUCACUAUUUCAGUAUAAAAACCAUACUAUAAUCCUUUCUAUACUGCCUUGUUUGCAAAGAUGGGUUUUUGGAGGUUGCUGUGAUAGAAAGCAAGUACUUCCUGAAAAUCAGUGUGAAGUCGGAAGUGAGGGUUGGCUUCCAGCUUAAUUCCAAGGUUUGAGACAUUGUGCUGUGCUUAGUCGUGUACCCAACUAGCAGGCAAGUUUGGUUGUUUAAGAAUGAAAUAAAAUAUUUUUCUCUUUCAGCUUAUGUGUAUUUUUAAACAGCUACUAAGUUGUUAGGAAAAAUAGUUAAGUUGUUUGAGCUUAACUACUUAAUAAAUGGAACUGUUAAGUAUUUCUUUUGGUCUACGGGUGCUGUGAAAAAAUUACAGACUUUAAGGUGUCACAAAAUGAGAAAGUCUGGGAACUUGAUAUGUGUUAUUUAGGGUACUUAAAUGAGUAGUAAAAUUAGAAAAAUAUGGAUGGGAAGAAUUAAUACUUACCAGCUUCAGUAUAGUAGUUCUCUCAGGGGAGGGGAAAAUGAGGGAAUUUAGGUAGAAGGGAAGGGUCAUUUAUUAAUUUUGUAACACUUCUUUCCAUUUUGUCUUUAUUUGCUUCUGAUUUUUUAAAAUGUAUUAAAUCUGGGUAAUUUGUCAUAUUGAGAAACAGUAUAGCAUAGCAUUUAGAAAUAGUAUUCUGGAAUCCCAGAUGCACUGCUUACCAGCUCUGUGACCUUAGGCAAGUGACUUAACAUCUCUUAUGUUUCAGUUUUCUUAUCUGUAAAACAGGGGUAAUAACAGUACCUAGCUCAUGAGAUUGUUGUGAGAUUAAAUGAGUUUAUGUGUGUUUGCUAUU
Molecule: long non-coding RNA, 3684 nt
Filed under: Phocoena sinus (vaquita)
Lineage: Eukaryota; Metazoa; Chordata; Mammalia; Artiodactyla; Phocoenidae
Description: lncRNA (ENSPSNG00000013628.1)
Source: RNAcentral